GACGAACGCUGGCGGCGUGCUUAACACAUGCAAGUCGAACGGAAAGGCCAGUGCUUGCACUGGUACUCGAGUGGCGAACGGGUGAGUAACACGUGGGUGAUCUGCCUUGCACUCUGGGAUAAGCUUGGGAAACUGGGUCUAAUACCGGAUAUGAACUGCCUUUAGUGUGGUGGUUGGAAAGUUUUUUCGGUGCAAGAUGAGCUCGCGGCCUAUCAGCUUGUUGGUGGGGUAAUGGCCUACCAAGGCGUCGACGGGUAGCCGGCCUGAGAGGGUGUACGGCCACAUUGGGACUGAAAUACCGCCCAGACUCCUACGGGAGGCAGCAGUGGGGAAUAUUGCACAAUGGGCGGAAACCUGAUGCAACGACCCCCGCGUGGGGGAUGACCGCCUUCCGGUUGUAAACUCCUUUCGACAGGGGACGAAACGCAAGUGACGGUACCUGUAUAAGAAACACCGGCUAACUACGUGCCAGCAGCCGCGGUAAUACCUAGGGUGCGAGCGUUGUCCGGAAUUACUGGGCGUAACGCGCGUAGCGGUUUUUUAAGUCUGAUGUGAAAGCCCACGGCUCAACCGUGGAGGGUCAUUGGAAACUGGAAAACUUGAGUGCAGAAGAGGAAAGUGGAAUUCCAUGUGUAGCGGUGAAAUGCGCAGAGAUAUGGAGGAACACCAGUGGCGAAGGCGACUUUCUGGUCUGUAACUGACGCUGAUGUGCGAAAGCGUGGGGAUCAAACAGGAUUAGAUACCCUGGUAGUCCACGCCGUAAACGAUGAGUGCUAAGUGUUAGGGGGUUUCCGCCCCUUAGUGCUGCAGCUAACGCAUUAAGCACUCCGCCUGGGGAGUACGACCGCAAGGUUGAAACUCAAAGGAAUUGACGGGGACCCGCACAAGCGGUGGAGCAUGUGGUUUAAUUCGAAGCAACGCGAAGAACCUUACCAAAUCUUGACAUCCUUUGACAACUCUAGAGAUAGAGCCUUCCCCUUCGGGGGACAAAGUGACAGGUGGUGCAUGGUUGUCGUCAGCUCGUGUCGUGAGAUGUUGGGUUAAGUCCCGCAACGAGCGCAACCCUUAAGCUUAGUUGCCAUCAUUAAGUUGGGCACUCUAAGUUGACUGCCGGUGACAAACCGGAGGAAGGUGGGGAUGACGUCAAAUCAUCAUGCCCCUUAUGUCCAGGGCUUCACACAUGCUACAAUGGUCGGUACAACGCGCAGCGACACUGCGAGGUGGAGCGAAUCGCUGAAAGCCGGCCUUAGUUCGGAUUGGGGUCUGCAACUCGACCCCAUGAAGUCGGAGUCGCUAGUAAUCGCAGAUCAGCAAUGCUGCGGUGAAUACGUUCCCGGGCCU
RNAcentral lists this ribosomal RNA (1341 nucleotides) under uncultured bacterium. RNAcentral describes it as "partial 16S ribosomal RNA". It matches the Rfam family "Bacterial small subunit ribosomal RNA", at positions 28 to 1381 of the family's 1533-position model. The record is from RNAcentral.